AACGUAGGUUCCGAGCGUUAUCCGGAUUUACUGGGCGUAAAGCGCGUUCAGGCGGUUUGACAAGUCGGGCAUGAAAUCUCUCGGCUCAACCGGGAGAGGUUGUCCGAUACUGUCAGACUUGAGGGCAGUAGAGGGUGGUGGAAUUCCGGGUGUAGUGGUGAAAUGCGUAGAUAUCCGGAGGAACACCAGUGGCGAAAGCGGCCACCUGGACUGUACCUGACGCUCAAACGCGAAAGCGUGGGGAGCGAACAGG
RNAcentral lists this ribosomal RNA (253 nucleotides) under uncultured bacterium. Its description in RNAcentral is "partial 16S ribosomal RNA". It matches the Rfam family "Bacterial small subunit ribosomal RNA", at positions 524 to 776 of the family's 1533-position model. The record is from RNAcentral.